This 472-nucleotide ribosomal RNA is filed under the name Rhodotorula mucilaginosa. Its description in RNAcentral is "LSU rRNA". It matches the Rfam family "Eukaryotic large subunit ribosomal RNA", at positions 100 to 569 of the family's 3401-position model. The record is from RNAcentral. Lineage: Eukaryota; Fungi; Basidiomycota; Microbotryomycetes; Sporidiobolales; Sporidiobolaceae.
GGGAAGAGCUCAAAUUUAUAAUCUGGCACCUUCGGUGUCCGAGUUGUAAUCUCUAGAAAUGUUUUCCGCGUUGGACCGCACACAAGUCUGUUGGAAUACAGCGGCAUAGUGGUGAGACCCCCGUAUAUGGUGCGGACGCCCAGCGCUUUGUGAUACAUUUUCGAAGAGUCGAGUUGUUUGGGAAUGCAGCUCAAAUUGGGUGGUAAAUUCCAUCUAAAGCUAAAUAUUGGCGAGAGACCGAUAGCGAACAAGUACCGUGAGGGAAAGAUGAAAAGCACUUUGGAAAGAGAGUUAACAGUACGUGAAAUUGUUGGAAGGGAAACGCUUGAAGUCAGACUUGCUUGCCGAGCAAUCGGUUUGCAGGCCAGCAUCAGUUUUCCGGGAUGGAUAAUGGUAGAGAGAAGGUACCAGUUUCGGCUGUGUUAUAGUUCUCUGCUGGAUACAUCUUGGGGGACUGAGGAACGCGAGUGUG